AAUUAAUAGAAUUAUUAAAAAAGUAUGUUUUGUAAUUUUAAAUUAAGAAAUUAAAUUUUAUUAUUAUUAAGAAAAAAUAUUUUUAAUUAUAGUUYAUUAGUAUUGUAAAAGAAAUUAUUUAAAUAAUAAAAAGAAAAAUUAAUUUUUUGUACCUUGUGUAUCAGGGUUUAUURAAUAURAAUWAAAWUUUUAAUAUUCUYGAAUUURAAAGAGCUAAAUUAAUAAAUUUUUUAUUGUAGAAUAAAUAAAUAUAAUAUUAUUAUAGCAAUGAAACGUUAUUCGUUUUUAAAUAUAUCUAGUUUUUUAAGAAAAAAUUAAUUUUUUUAUAAAAUUAAUUUAAUUAAUUAUUUAAUUAAAUUUAGUUUAUAAUUAAUAUUUUUAGGGAUAAGCUUAAAGAUAAAUUUUUAUAAAUUUAUAUAAUUAUAUAAAUUAUAGGAUUAGAAUUUUUCAUUAUAAAAAAAUGUUAUAAUUAAUUAUAUUAUAAGUUAUUAUUUUUAUAAAUUUUAAAUAUUUUAUUAAAAAUAUUAAUAGUAAUUUUUACUAUUAAGUAAUAAUGAUAAAAUUAGUAUAAUAGGUAUUGUAUAAUUAGUUAUAUAAUUAUAGGUUAAAUAAAGGAAUUCGGCAAAAGUAUUUUUCACCUGUUUAUUAAAAACAUGGCCUUUACGAUGAUAAUUAUAGGUCUAACCUGCCCAGUGAGGAUUUUAAAUGGCCGCGGUAAUUUGACCGUGCAAAGGUAGCAUAAUCAUUAGUUUCUUAAUUGAAAGCUGGAAUGAAGGGUUGAAUGAAAAAAUAGCUGUCUCUAUUUAAUUUAAUUACCAUUUUAUUUUUAAGUUAAAAAGCUUAAAUAAUUUUAAAAGACGAGAAGACCCUAUAGAGUUUUAUAUAAUUUUUAAUAGAAUUUAUUUUAAUUAUAAAAAUAUUAUUAUAAAUUAUAUUUAGUUGGGGUGAUUAAAAAUUUAAUAAACUUUUUUUUAUUUAACAUUUUUUUAUGAAUAAUUGAUCCAUUAUUAAUGAUUAAAAGAUUAAAUUAACCUUAGGGUUAACAGCAAUUUCUUUUUAGAGUUCUAAUCGAUAAAGAAGUUUGCGACCUCGAUGUUGGAUUAAAAUAUAGUUUUGGUGUAGAAGCUGAAAUAUUGGGUCUGUUCGACCUUUAAAAUUUUUACAUGAUCUGAGUUUAAACCGGUGUGAGCCAGGUUGGUUUCUAUCUUCAUUUAAUAUCCAGUUAGUACGAGAGGACCAUUGGAUUUAUAAAUUAUGUUAUUGUGAAUACUA
Molecule: ribosomal RNA, 1272 nt
Filed under: Sinoxylon sp. SIN01
Lineage: Eukaryota; Metazoa; Arthropoda; Insecta; Coleoptera; Bostrichidae
Description: 16S ribosomal RNA
Rfam family: Archaeal large subunit ribosomal RNA (bases 1039-1196)
Source: RNAcentral